AAAGACUUCACAGAGGAAGUGGCACUUGAGUUGAGAAGUAGGAGGUCCUGAGAAGAUGGGAGAAAAGAUUAAGUUGGCUGGAACAUAAGGAUUUGCUUUCAGAGACCCAGACUGUGACAGGGUUCAUGGAACUGCUGGAUGAGUUCAUAUGACUGCAGCACACAGGAGCCUCGGUGCUAACAUGGUCAAUCUGCACAAUCUCCAAGGAGGUGAUUUGGACCCCUACCUGACUCCACAGCAGACUCUAUUCGACCACUUGCUCUGGAAUGCAGAGUUGGAGUUACCUGUCUCUGUUCCCCAUUGGACUGGGUACUCUUCAAAUGUAUUAACCACAAGUUUGGCUUUGAAGAGUAAAUGAAUGAACGACAGUCCUACAGAGGAAAACCAGGAGAGCAAAAUGUUGUGGAUUCCAGGUGAAAAAAACUGUAAAAAGGAAGAAGUGAACAACUCUGUCAAAUACUGAUAAUCCAGGAAGAUGAGGCCUGAGAUUUGAUCACUGGAUUUAGCAAAGUCCCCCCGGUACAUAGUUGUAUAUUCUUCAUUGUGGGUCCAUCUAGUUGUGGCAUGUGGGACGCCGCCUCAGCGUGGUUUGAUGAGGAGUGCCAUGUCAGCGCCCAGGAUUCGAACCAACGAAACACUGGGCCGCCUGCAGCGGAGCACACGAACUUAACCACUCGGCCACGGGGCCAGCCCAAAUUUUUAUUUCUGUUAAUUUGUAAUAGGCUUAUUCUUUUAUUUUAUUUAAAAAUCCACCCAUUUAUUAAACAAACUUACUGAGUGUUUACUAUGUAAUAAACACUGAAGAUUCUGAGAUAAUUUGUACAGCUCACUGCAUUAUGGAGAAAGCAG
RNAcentral lists this long non-coding RNA (849 nucleotides) under Equus caballus (horse). RNAcentral's name for it is "lncRNA (ENSECAG00000044882.1)". The record is from RNAcentral. Lineage: Eukaryota; Metazoa; Chordata; Mammalia; Perissodactyla; Equidae.